RNAcentral lists this ribosomal RNA (395 nucleotides) under uncultured bacterium. Its description in RNAcentral is "bacterial SSU rRNA". It matches the Rfam family "Bacterial small subunit ribosomal RNA", at positions 521 to 916 of the family's 1533-position model. The record is from RNAcentral.
UAAUACGAAGGGGGCUAGCGUUGUUCGGAAUUACUGGGCGUAAAGCGCGCGUAGGCGGUGAUCCAUGUCAGAGGUGAAAGCCUGGAGCUCAACUCCAGAAUUGCCUUUGAAACGGGAUCGCUAGAGUCCGAGAGAGGAUGGCGGAAUUCCUAGUGUAGAGGUGAAAUUCGUAGAUAUUAGGAAGAACACCGGUGGCGAAGGCGGCCAUCUGGCUCGGUACUGACGCUCAGGCGCGAAAGCGUGGGGAGCAAACAGGAUUAGAUACCCUGGUAGUCCACGCCGUAAACGAUGAGUGCUAGUUGUUGGGAAGUUUACUUCUCAGUGACGCAGCUAACGCGUUAAGCACUCCGCCUGGGGAGUACGGUCGCAAGAUUAAAACUCAAAUGAAUUGACGG